RNAcentral lists this ribosomal RNA (1343 nucleotides) under uncultured bacterium. Its description in RNAcentral is "16S ribosomal RNA". It matches the Rfam family "Bacterial small subunit ribosomal RNA", at positions 28 to 1378 of the family's 1533-position model. The record is from RNAcentral.
GACGAACGCUGGCGGCGUGCUUAACACAUGCAAGUCGAACGGAAAGGCCCUGCUUUUGUGGGGUGCUCGAGUGGCGAACGGGUGAGUAACACGUGAGUAACCUGCCCUUGACUUUGGGAUAACUUCAGGAAACUGGGGCUAAUACCGGAUAGGAGCUCCUGCUGCAUGGUGGGGGUUGGAAAGUUUCGGCGGUUGGGGAUGGACUCGCGGCUUAUCAGCUUGUUGGUGGGGUAGUGGCUUACCAAGGCUUUGACGGGUAGCCGGCCUGAGAGGGUGACCGGCCACAUUGGGACUGAGAUACGGCCCAGACUCCUACGGGAGGCAGCAGUGGGGAAUAUUGCACAAUGGGCGGAAGCCUGAUGCAGCAACGCCGCGUGCGGGAUGACGGCCUUCGGGUUGUAAACCGCUUUCGCCUGUGACGAAGCGUGAGUGACGGUAAUGGGUAAAGAAGCACCGGCUAACUACGUGCCAGCAGCCGCGGUGAUACGUAGGGUGCGAGCGUUGUCCGGAUUUAUUGGGCGUAAAGGGCUCGUAGGUGGUUGAUCGCGUCGGAAGUGUAAUCUUGGGGCUUAACCCUGAGCGUGCUUUCGAUACGGGUUGACUUGAGGAAGGUAGGGGAGAAUGGAAUUCCUGGUGGAGCGGUGGAAUGCGCAGAUAUCAGGAGGAACACCAGUGGCGAAGGCGGUUCUCUGGGCCUUUCCUGACGCUGAGGAGCGAAAGCGUGGGGAGCGAACAGGCUUAGAUACCCUGGUAGUCCACGCUGUAAACGGUGGGUACUAGGUGUGGGGUCCAUUCCACGGGUUCCGUGCCGUAGCUAACGCUUUAAGUACCCCGCCUGGGGAGUACGGCCGCAAGGCUAAAACUCAAAGGAAUUGACGGGGCCCCGCACAAGCGGCGGAGCAUGCGGAUUAAUUCGAUGCAACGCGUAGAACCUUACCUGGGUUUGACAUGGAUCGGGAGCGCUCAGAGAUGGGUGUGCCUCUUUUGGGGUCGGUUCACAGGUGGUGCAUGGCUGUCGUCAGCUCGUGCCGUGAGAUGUUGGGUUAAGUCCCGCAACGAGCGCAACCCUUGUUCACUGUUGCCAGCACGUUAUGGUGGGGACUCAGUGGAGACCGCCGGGGUCAACUCGGAGGAAGGUGGGGAUGACGUCAAGUCAUCAUGCCCCUUAUGUCCAGGGCUUCACGCAUGCUACAAUGGCUGGUACAGAGAGUGGCGAGCCUGUGAGGGUGAGUGAAUCUCGGAAAGCCGGUCUCAGUUCGGAUUGGGGUCUGCAACUCGACCUCAUGAAGUCGGAGUCGCUAGUAAUCGCAGAUCAGCAACGCUGCGGUGAAUACGUUCCCGGG